Molecule: non-coding RNA, 156 nt
Filed under: bovine gut metagenome
Description: Lysine riboswitch
Rfam family: Lysine riboswitch aptamer
About the family: Riboswitches are metabolite binding domains within certain messenger RNAs that serve as precision sensors for their corresponding targets. Allosteric rearrangement of mRNA structure is mediated by ligand binding, and this results in modulation of gene expression. This family includes riboswitches that sense lysine in a number of genes involved in lysine metabolism, including lysC.
Source: RNAcentral
UGAUAGAGGCGCGGUUGACAUCAGUAGCUCCAAACCGGCGGCGGGCAACGCCGGGGCGAAAGGGGAGACCGCCGAAGAGUAUCGGCUUUCCCGGGCCGGUAUAUCUGGGCCGACGGAGAACAUCCGCCGGACUGUCGCGAAAGCGGAGCGCUGUCA